Molecule: ribosomal RNA, 440 nt
Filed under: uncultured bacterium
Lineage: Bacteria
Description: partial 16S ribosomal RNA
Rfam family: Bacterial small subunit ribosomal RNA
Source: RNAcentral
CCUACGGGUGACAGCAGUGGGGAAUAUUGCACAAUGGGGGAAACCCUGAUGCAGCGACGCCGCGUGAGUGAAGAAGCAAUUCGUUAUGUAAAGCUCUAUCAGCAGGGAAGAAAAUGACGGUACCUGAGUAAGAAGCCACGGCUAACUACGUGCCAGCAGCCGCGGUAAUACGUAGGGGGCAAGCGUUAUCCGGAUUUACUGGGUGUAAAGGGAGCGUAGACGGCAGUGCAAGUCUUGAGUGAAAGGCGGGGGCUAAACCCCCGGACUGCCCUGGAAACUGUACGGCUGGAGUGCAGGAGAGGUAAGUGGAAUUCCUGGUGUAGCGGUGAAAUGCGUAGAUAUUAGGAGGAACACCAGUGGCGAAGGCGGCUUACGGGACUGUAACUGACGUUGAGGCUCGAAAGCGUGGGUAGCAAACAGGAUUAGAUACCCUAGUAGUC